UACGUAGGGGCCGAGCGUUGUCCGGAGUUACUGGGCGUAAAGCGCGCGCAGGCGGCUCGCUUUGCCCGGCGUGAAAGCCCCCGGCUCAACCGGGGAGGGUCGUCGGGGACGGGCGAGCUUGAGGCCGGCAGGGGCAGGUGGAAUUCCCGGUGUAGUGGUGAAAUGCGUAGAGAUCGGGAGGAACACCUGUGGCGAAGGCGGCCUGCUGGGCCGGACCUGACGCUGAGGCGCGAAGGCGUGGGGAGCGAACGGG
RNAcentral lists this ribosomal RNA (253 nucleotides) under uncultured bacterium. Its description in RNAcentral is "partial 16S ribosomal RNA". It matches the Rfam family "Bacterial small subunit ribosomal RNA", at positions 524 to 776 of the family's 1533-position model. The record is from RNAcentral.